RNAcentral lists this ribosomal RNA (1497 nucleotides) under Sceloporus olivaceus. Its description in RNAcentral is "16S ribosomal RNA". It matches the Rfam family "Bacterial large subunit ribosomal RNA", at positions 256 to 2831 of the family's 2925-position model. The record is from RNAcentral. Lineage: Eukaryota; Metazoa; Chordata; Lepidosauria; Squamata; Phrynosomatidae.
AAAAAUGUUAGAUCAUACUAACCUAUUUGAGCCAAACCUCUAGCCCGCUUACCCCAUCAAACACCCAACCAAAAUAAACAAACCAUUUGAUACGACUAGUAAAGGCGAUUAAACAUCACACAAGGAGCAAAAGAUACAGUACCGCAAGGGAAACAUGAAAAACAGUGAAAAACUAUAAGCGAAACAAAGCAAGGACAAACCCCUGUACCUAUUGCAUCAUGGUCUAGCAAGAACUACACAGACACGGCGUCCCAGCCUGUGCCCCCGAAAUCAAGUGAGCUACCCUAGAGCAACCUCCUAGGGUUAACCCGUCCCUGUGGCAAAAGGGUGGGAAGACUCUAAGGUAGCGGUGAAAAGCCUACCGAACUUGUUGAUAGCUGGUUGCCUGAUAAAUGAACCUAAGUUCAGCCUUAAAUUCAUCAAACACACCAUAGUAAAGACUUAAUUUAAGACCUAGUCAGCGGGGGUACAGCCCCGCUGACCCGGGACACAACCCGAAGUAAAGAGACAGCAUUCUACCACACACCAGUAGGCCUUAAAGCAGCCAUCAAAAACAUUGCGUCAUAGCACACACCAAAAAAUACCACCACAUAAAACAACCUCUUACAACCAUCUCAGUGCCAAUCUAUAAAAAUAUAGAAGAACUAAUGCUAGAACUAGUAACAAGAACUUUUUCUCUCCGCACAACUGUAAAUCAGUCACAGAAAAACUACUGAAAAUUAACAGCACAAUACAUACCUUAACAAACAUUGAUUAUUACUGUUAAACCGACUCAGGGGUGCCAAAAAGAAAGAUCCUAAGUUAAAGAAGGAACUCGGCAAAACAACAUCCCAACUGUUUACCAAAAACACAGCCUUUAGCUAUGCAAGUAUUAAAGGUGGCGCCUGCCCAGUGAACCAAUUUAACGGCCGCGGUAUCCUAACCGUGCAAAGGUAGCGUAAUCACUUGUCCUUUAAAUGGGACCAGUAUGAACGGCUAAAUGAGGAUAAGUCUGUCUCCUUUAACAAAUCAGUGAAACUGAUCUACCAGUACAAAAGCUGGUAUAGCCCCAUAAGACGAGAAGACCCUGUGGAGCUUUAAAUUUAAGCCAAGCAACUAAAGCACAAGUUAGCCAAUGGUUAAAAAUUUUAAGUUGGGGCGACUUCGGAAAAAAACCAAACUUCCGAGCAUUAGACCACGUCUCACCAAGACCAACAAGUCAAGGCUAAAACUGACCCAGUACCACUGACAACCGAACCAAGUUACCCCAGGGAUAACAGCGCAAUCUUCUUCAAGAGUCCCUAUCGACAAGAAGGUUUACGACCUCGAUGUUGGAUCAGGACACCCAAAUGGUGCAGCCGCUAUUAAACAAUCCAGGUCGGUUUCUAUCUAUGUAGUUGUUUUCUUUAGUACGAAAGGACCAAGAAAACAGGACCUAUCCUAAUAGCACGUCCUAGAUACAAGGCUGAACACAACUAAAGCCAAACAACACAACCCCGCCCGAAGAUAACGGGCUUA